CCUACGGGGGGCUGCAGUGGGGAAUAUUGGACAAUGGGGGGAACCCUGAUCCAGCCAUGCCGCGUGUGUGAAGAAGGCCCUCGGGUUGUAAAGCACUUUCAGUGAGGAAGAACGCCUGGUGGUUAAUACCCAUCAGGAAAGACAUCACUCACAGAAGAAGCACCGGCUAACUCCGUGCCAGCAGCCGCGGUAAUACGGAGGGUGCGAGCGUUAAUCGGAAUUACUGGGCGUAAAGCGCGCGUAGGUGGCUUGAUAAGCCGGUUGUGAAAGCCCCGGGCUCAACCUGGGAACGGCAUCCGGAACUGUCAAGCUGGAGUGCAGGAGAGGAAGGUAGAAUUCCCAGUGUAGCGGUGAAAUGCGUAGAGAUCGGGAGGAAUACCAGUGGCGAAGGCGGCCUUCUGGACUGACACUGACACUGAGGUGCGAAAGCGUGGGUAGCAAACAGGAUUAGAUACCCUGGUAGUC
This 465-nucleotide ribosomal RNA is filed under the name Vreelandella stevensii. Its description in RNAcentral is "partial 16S ribosomal RNA". It matches the Rfam family "Bacterial small subunit ribosomal RNA", at positions 338 to 795 of the family's 1533-position model. Lineage: Bacteria; Pseudomonadati; Pseudomonadota; Gammaproteobacteria; Oceanospirillales; Halomonadaceae. The record is from RNAcentral.